AAUCAACGCUGGCGGCGUGCCUCAGACAUGCAAGUCGAACGAUUAAAGCUCUCUUCGGAGAGUGCAUAGAGUGGCGCACGGGUGAGUAACACGUAAGUAAUCUACCUUCGAGUGGGGAAUAACGUCCGGAAACGGACGCUAAUACCGCAUAAUGCAGCGGCAUCGUAAGAUGACAGUUGUUAAAGAUUUAUCGCUUGAAGAGGAGCUUGCGGCAGAUUAGCUAGUUGGUAAGGUAAUGGCUUACCAAGGCUACGAUCUGUAACCGGUCUUAGAGGACGGUCGGUCACACUGACACUGAAUAACGGGUCAGACUCCUACGGGAGGCAGCAGUCGGGAAUUUUGGGCAAUGGGCGAAAGCCUGACCCAGCAACGCCGCGUGAAGGAUGAAGUAUUUCGGUAUGUAAACUUCGAGAGAAUAGGAAGAAUAAAUGACGGUACUAUUUAUAAGGUCCGGCUAACUACGUGCCAGCAGCCGCGGUAAU
RNAcentral lists this ribosomal RNA (482 nucleotides) under uncultured bacterium. RNAcentral describes it as "bacterial SSU rRNA". It matches the Rfam family "Bacterial small subunit ribosomal RNA", at positions 32 to 524 of the family's 1533-position model. The record is from RNAcentral.